This is a ribosomal RNA of Impatiens glandulifera, 119 nucleotides long. The record is from RefSeq and is a predicted model, not a curated record. Lineage: Eukaryota; Viridiplantae; Streptophyta; Magnoliopsida; Ericales; Balsaminaceae.
GGGUGCGAUCAUACCAGCACUAAUGCACAGAAUCCCAUCAGAACUCUAUAGUUAAGUGUGCUUUGGCGAGAGUAGUACUAUGAUUGGUGACCCCCUGGGAAGUUCUUGUGUCGCACUCC